UAUAAACACCAUAUAGAAGUCAUUAUAUAUUUUCGUGGCAAGUGGGUUUCAACAUACACGUGUGAUCAACUUUCAAUUAUAUAAUAUUACAUGAAAGUUUAUAAACUGAUUAAUAAAAGGAAAUAUUAUUGGAACUAUCAGAGUGAAAAGUGCUAGUUGCUGUGCCGAAGGCAUCGGCCGUUAGUUUAGGCCAGAGGGCUUAGACAGCGCUUUUCGUCAACUCUCUCUAACUUGGCUAUAGCCGCAUACACCCCGCUAUCCGAUCAAACAGGGCGUGCCGACACUUGGACUGAGGGAUUACGUAACCAAGAUCGCGCUCAAGUGGCCGAGGCAGCCGCUCCUAAUCUACGCCUAGGAAAAGGGUCUGGGAGGCUGAAAAGAUCGUUGGGACUCAGCUCCAAAACGGAAUUUAGACCCCGAUACCAGCUUAAACGGCGAGCAGAUGCAGCAGUGUUACGCAGUAUUAACAACUACAUCGGAGUCAUCUUGGGCCCAAUGAUACAUCGGUGAGAGUAAGAGCUAUUGUGAGUAUUUGUAAGCGUUUAUAUGCGUAUAAUAUUAUAAUAUA
Drosophila kikkawai is the source of this 568-nucleotide long non-coding RNA. RefSeq lists it as uncharacterized. NCBI's taxonomy places the organism in Eukaryota, Metazoa, Arthropoda, Insecta, Diptera, Drosophilidae. The record is from RefSeq and is a predicted model, not a curated record.